GUCCCUUCAGGGACAUGUGAUAAAAUUGGAAUGAUACAGGGAAUAUUAGCAUGGCCGCUUCAAGGAUUUUUUUUUUGAGAAUCUCACAAAGCUUUA
RNAcentral lists this small nuclear RNA (96 nucleotides) under Triticum aestivum (bread wheat). The record is from RNAcentral. RNAcentral also lists the same sequence under 1 other name. Lineage: Eukaryota; Viridiplantae; Streptophyta; Magnoliopsida; Poales; Poaceae.